Molecule: ribosomal RNA, 432 nt
Filed under: uncultured bacterium
Lineage: Bacteria
Description: partial 16S ribosomal RNA
Rfam family: Bacterial small subunit ribosomal RNA
Source: RNAcentral
AACGAACGCUGGCGGCAGGCCUAACACAUGCAAGUCGAGCGAGGACUUCGGUUCUAGCGGCGGACGGGUGAGUAACGCGUGGGAAUGUGCCCUUCUCUACGGAAUAGCCCUGGAAACUGGGAGUAAUACCGUAUACGCCCUUUUGGGGAAAGAUUUAUCGGAGAAGGAUCAGCCCGCGUUGGAUUAGGUAGUUGGUGGGGUAAUGGCCUACCAAGCCGACGAUCCAUAGCUGGUUUGAGAGGAUGAUCAGCCACACUGGGACUGAGACACGGCCCAGACUCCUACGGGAGGCAGCAGUGGGGAAUCUUAGACAAUGGGGGCAACCCUGAUCUAGCCAUGCCGCGUGAGUGAUGAAGGCCUUAGGGUUGUAAAGCUCUUUCAGCUGGGAAGAUAAUGACGGUACCAGCAGAAGAAGCCCCGGCUAACUCCGUG